CUGCAAUGAUGGGAAAAUUUUUCGUCAACAGCAGUUCACCUUGUGAGUGUUGAAUUUCUUAGUCUGAGCAA
Small nucleolar RNA from Monodelphis domestica (gray short-tailed opossum), 71 nucleotides. Lineage: Eukaryota; Metazoa; Chordata; Mammalia; Didelphimorphia; Didelphidae. The record is from Ensembl.